CCGUUGCUCGGAGAAGUCUGACGGAGCACGCCGCGUGAGUGAAGAAGGUUUUCGGAUCGUAAAACUCUGUUGUAAGGGAAGAACAAGUACGUUAGUAACUGAACGUACCUUGACGGUACCUUACCAGAAAGCCACGGCUAACUACGUGCCAGCAGCCGCGGUAAUACGUAGGUGGCAAGCGUUAUCCGGAAUUAUUGGGCGUAAAGCGCGCGUAGGCGGUCUCUUAAGUCUGAUGUGAAAGCCCCCGGCUCAACCGGGGAGGGUCAUUGGAAACUGGGAGACUUGAGUGCAGAAGAGGAGAGUGGAAUUCCAUGUGUAGCGGUGAAAUGCGCAGAGAUAUGGAGGAACACCAGUGGCGAAGGCGGCUCUCUGGUCUGUAACUGACGCUGAGGUGCGAAAG
This 400-nucleotide ribosomal RNA is filed under the name uncultured Staphylococcaceae bacterium. RNAcentral describes it as "bacterial SSU rRNA". It matches the Rfam family "Bacterial small subunit ribosomal RNA", at positions 366 to 759 of the family's 1533-position model. Lineage: Bacteria; Bacillati; Bacillota; Bacilli; Caryophanales; Staphylococcaceae. The record is from RNAcentral.